CAUGAUGUUUCUGUGCUCUCUGACUGUCUUUAUCAUCAUGCUAAGGAACUGUUCUGCACAGUCAAAAGCACCAGUGCAAAACAAAACACAGGUUCAUGCUCUUGAAGAUGAGACAGUUACUCUCUCCUGCAAGUUUGAGGUUAGUGUGGAGAGUCUGCAGUGGUACCGUCAGUAUCCUGGAUCCAGACCAGAGUUCUUGCUGCUGAAAUUUCCAGGAUCAGCUGAUGUAACCCAUGCAAACCCUCCUUUCCCACGACUGAAUGCUACAGACAGCAACACAAUAAUGAAUCUGAUAAUCUCCUCUGCUGCAGUAUCAGACUCUGCACUCUACUACUGUGCUGUGAAG
This is a non-coding RNA of Colossoma macropomum (tambaqui), 346 nucleotides long. The record is from the annotation of a RefSeq genome assembly. NCBI's taxonomy places the organism in Eukaryota, Metazoa, Chordata, Actinopteri, Characiformes, Serrasalmidae.